RNAcentral lists this transfer RNA (85 nucleotides) under Phycisphaerae bacterium. RNAcentral's name for it is "tRNA-Ser". It matches the Rfam family "tRNA". Rfam says of the family: Transfer RNA (tRNA) molecules are approximately 80 nucleotides in length. Their secondary structure includes four short double-helical elements and three loops (D, anti-codon, and T loops). Lineage: Bacteria; Pseudomonadati; Planctomycetota; Phycisphaerae. The record is from RNAcentral.
GGAGGAGUGGCAGAGUGGUUGAUCGCGGCGGUCUUGAAAACCGUUGUACCGAAAGGUACCGGGGGUUCGAAUCCCUCCUCCUCCG